AAGUCAUUUGCGCUCGUCUCAAGCUUUUGUUCAUCUGUUUCCAACCGAACGCCGGAGAACAGGAGCCAUUGCGACUCAACACAGCGCGGUGUUCAGCAGCAGUCACUCUUGUGUUCGUGCCUCGUAUUACCUCUUGCGGGAAGUGGAUACUGAAAUAGUUUCGCCGUCGGACGAUUGGUGUUCAAAUCUUCUUUAACUUACAAACUCAACAUGGAGAAUGAGAACAAAUACCUCCCGCAGCUGCUGGCGGAACGCGACAGCCUGGACGCGUCGUUCACGCACGCCAUGAAACUUCUCUCAGCAGAAAUCGAGAAGGUUGAGAAGGGAGAGACUGAUAAGGAUACAGAAAGCUACCUGGACCUCUUUACCCAGAAAAACAUCAAACUGAAGGAAAGGGUUCUCAUUCCAGUCAAACAGUACCCUAAGUUUAACUUUGUUGGGAAGAUCCUUGGACCGCAGGGGAACACCAUCAAGAGACUGCAGGAGGAGACUGGCGCUAAGAUCUCCGUGCUGGGGAAAGGAUCCAUGAGGGACAAAACCAAGGAGGAAGGCUUGAGGAAAAGUGGAGAGCCAAAGUAUGCACACUUGUCCAUGGAGCUUCAUGUGUUUAUCGAGGUGUUUGCUCCCGUUCCUGAGGCGUAUGUGCGCAUGGCUCAUGCCAUGGAGGAGAUCAAAAAGUUCUUGUUCCCUGACAUGAUGGAUGAAAUUUGCCAGGAGCAGUUCAUGGAGAUGAAGUUCCUAAACGGUGGUCAGGAACAUGCAGGCAGAGGCCGAGGAGGGCCACCCAUCAGAGGCCGUGGAGGUCUUCCUCCUCCUGGAGUACCCAGGGGUCGUGGUAUGCCCCCACGUGGUGGUCGUGGUGGACCUCCUCGAGGUGGUGCCACAAGGGGAGCUCCUGCAGGCAGAGGUGGACCAGCUGCCCAGCCGCCCAGAGGAGCAGCCUCCAACCGCGCACGUCCACCAGCCCCUGCAUCUCAGCGGAUGCCUCCUCCACCACCCCCGCACGCUCCGACCCAAGAAUCAUAUGAAGAAUAUUCUUACGAUGAGAGCUACACAGAGCCAGGCUAUGAAUCCUAUGACAGCUACUACAGUCAACCACAAGCGGAACCAGAGUACUAUGACUAUGGACAUGGAGAGACACAGGAGGGCUAUGAAAACUACGCGCAAGAUGACUGGAACGGGACACAGCGCCCUGCUGGCGGUGGAAAAGCUCCCGCUCAGAGACAGACUAAGCCUGGGUUAAGGGAACACCCCUAUGGACGAUACUAAGUCUGAUUAGUGGAACGUCACCCAACGCGUCGCCAUGACAACUGUCUCCCAUGGCAGCUCACGCUUUAAGCUACCCGACAAAAGUUGUGAUGCCUAGCAAUUCCUGGAAAUGGAACGUUUAAUCGAGAUUGUCAGACCUCUCCACAGGAAAAGACAAGUGUGUGUUCGCAGCGUAAGAGCAAUCUUACCUUUGAACACCAGCUGCCUUUAAGGAACCGUCGACAGUCUGACUGAACAGCUUCUGAACUGUGUGGAAUGGCGGAAAUCGAUGGUCCUGUCGGUUAAAGUUUGAACCAGCAACCUCUUAAUGGGUUAAAGCGGAAAGUUCUUGGUGCUGUGUAUAUUGGCUCUCUAGUCGUAAUGCAAGGUCAUUUUCUCUGUACUGAAAGUUUCCCUUUACAGUUCACCUCAUCAAGUGCUUUCUAAGCACACUUUACUUUAAAUGUUCAUCCUUAAAUUGACUACUUCUGCUCAUGUUGGCCAAGAAAUCAUUUUAACAAGCUCGAAAAAUUCUGUCCAGGCUCUCCAGACGUCUACCUCAGACAAUACUCCAGUGCUUUAUUCUGCAAGACAAGCAUGUCUUCCCCAGUUCCUCGCUCGGAGGAACGUACAUGCUAAUUUGGAGCUGUCCGGCCCCUAUCUCUUAGCACAGACUUUGUCCUUUAAUUGCCAUGGUAAUUUCCAUCGUGCUCUUGAGUAGAUAUGUUUGAAUGGGCUUAUGCUGCCGGAGCGCUCUCGCAGUUUGUAUGAAUCACAAAUGCGUCUGUUGAACCAAGCGCAAAAAGCUCCGGGGGUUCGCAGCAUAGCAUAACGGUUGAUCUAAAUCAUACUAACAUUUUUACCAUCCGGAUAAAGGUCUUUCUUGCCCUAAUUGAGAGCUUUCCAUAAUUCUGCUUUGUUUUCUAAUCCUUGCCGUGUUUGGCACAGUGCAUGUGUAGGUGUAGCUGUCAGUAUCUUCCAUCUCUUGCUCAUUUCCCCCCGCCCUCCAGCACGCAUAGGACUUGAGCCCGUCAUUCUGACCAAUUACCGCCGCUGACAGUGUGUUCGUCCCCCCGCGGAGCCACCACUGGUUGCCGACUCUCUAACAGGACUAAUGCCUUAUUGCAUUAGAGACAAAUCAGUCUUCGGCACAGAUUUUUAAUAAGCAUCAGCCACCACUCAAGUGCCAUCGAACAAUUGGAAAUGGGUGUGCGUGGGUAGGAGGUUGACCGAUGCGUGUGCAGGCGUCAAUGUAAUGAGAAAUUGCAAAAGCAGAUAAUGGAAAUAUUUAAUUCAUUUCCCAGACAGAUGCUUAGGGGGGUAAAGAAAACCAGUCUCAAGGAGGAAGAACUGUUCAAACCCACUGUGUACACUUAAUGGGUCUUUGUUUACACGGUCAUAUCUGUUUGCGUCGGACAUGCGUGGCCUACAGCUGCUGGGGAAAUGCCUCUGGGGUAAUGUGCAAGGGAUGCGUGGCGGUCUGAAACCGGGGGAUUGUGGCUUGGCAGCUCUUUCCUCCUUUAACGCUCAUUGUGCAUGCUGAAAACAGGAAGCAUGGCUUUGCGAAUGCAAAUGAAACACUCGCACCACUGACUGUCUGUCUUCCUGCAUGGCUAUUUUGCUAGUUUCACACCUAACCAGUACACACACUCCAGGGAGUCAGGGUUUUGAGUGCACAGGGAGGAGUUGUAACGGUUUCUGGCUCACAUCCUGGAGAACAGUGGCCGCUGGCCACCUCCUUCAGUGUGAAAUGCUGGUAAUAACUAAGCCUCCUAAAGGUCUUUCUCAGUGUGCUGUGAUGAAAAUGAAUUGAAUCCAUCCAUGUGGAAUCUGGCUUGAGUAAUCCGUAGCCCUCCAGGACUAAGAGUUGGACACCUUCACCUUGGCCGUGGUUGAAGUAACAUUCCAUUGCAUGUUUUCCAACAUCCACAUAAGCAGACACAAUAUCGGAAAACCAUGGGAAUUGCUUGGGAUUAGUGAUGAAAUUCAAGCGCCAGGAGUCUGUAUUAUUUUGUUUUCCUAAGGAGAUUGAUUUGAGCUUAUUGAAGUGCCUGUCUUUCAGCAUAGCUGUUGGCCUUAUCUUGGUAGAAGCAAACUAAAGCCUUUGGGGUCAGAGAAACCGUUCUGUGACUUAGGAGAGCGGACAGAAUUUUUCUUUACAUUUGAAAGUCAUUCAAACUUGUUUGGAAGUCUGUGCAUCCAAGAGCACUCGCACAAAGCCUGCAUAUUACGUAUGACUACAAAGAGAAUACGUAACUUCACAGAUGUUUUAACUUUUGUAACGUCAAAAAUAAAAAUAAAAAAAUUCAAGAAGUG
This is an RNA transcript of Labeo rohita (rohu), 3564 nucleotides long. It is a transcript of the gene named KH domain containing, RNA binding, signal transduction associated 1b, with no coding region annotated. NCBI's taxonomy places the organism in Eukaryota, Metazoa, Chordata, Actinopteri, Cypriniformes, Cyprinidae. The transcript has 11 exons. The record is from RefSeq and is a predicted model, not a curated record.